CCAAAUCUCCAAACCUGAUUAUCGUCAUUCUCCUUUACAAAACGUUUUAAUGACUUUAAACCAAACCAAUCUGCAAAGCUAUUCAUAAUACAUCAAUUCUCAAUUUCUAAUUUUCAAACUACCUAAGAUCAAAAUAAGGACAAAUCUUAUGAAACAAAAGCAGCCAAAAUGGAGAGAAACAGGUUCAUGAUCUUUCAAAAGAAAGAAAUCCAAAGAUGUCAUGCCUUUUAAACAAGAACAAAUCAAUAUACCACACCUAUAGUAAUCAAUACUCGCAUUUUAUUCACACUCAAUCAUGAUCUAAUACAAAACUAUAUAUGAAAUAAAGAUCUAGAGCUUAAGAGAAAAGGAAAUGGACCUUUAUGCAAAAACCAAACAGAUCUGAGAGCCGCUAACCGGAAAACAUGAACCGUACCGACAAACCUCGACGGACCUCAACCAAUUCGAACAAACAAUGUACUGGAACUCAAAUGACGACCCAGAGUUUCAAAAUCGGAGCUGAACCUUUUAUGUUUAAUGGAGACGAAAAAUGAGUAAAAAAAAAUCUAACUCAAAGGUCGUCGAUAAUGGAGUUGCGACCAGAUUUGCGGCUGCUGGUUUCAUUGAAGGGAGCAGGGGUCGAUGUUGAGGUAGCUCCAGGUCUGUCAUUGGUUUUGGAUGGAGAAGAAGAAGCUUAAGGUGUUCUCAGGUUGUCUUCAUACGUGUGUCACGGCAUUUUCCGGUGAGUUCGUCGCUGGCUUGGUGAGAGGAGGAGAAUCUGGAUUUCUGCAACUUGAAGCAAAAGAACGACGGGAGGGUUGGUCGCUGGUGAGGCGUGGCCGGUGGUGAUAGAGUUCAGUCGAGGAAGAAGAAGCCGCUACUGCCCUAGGUCUAUGUUUGGUUGCUACGACUAAAAGCUUUUUUUUAGACUCCUAGGGUUCUAGUCUCCUUAAGGUGUGAAGAAGAAGAAGACUUAGGAUUUUGGUAGGUUUUCAAAUCAGAAAAACGGUUAUGGCUGCUGGUGUUUGAAGUCUAUUGAGGCUGAUGCUUCUAUGAUUUUGUUCAAGAGCAGUAGCUUAUGGCUAGGAAGAAGCCAUGGAAGAUGUCUCGUUCUUUAGUUGAAGGCGACGAUGAACGAGGGGGGCUGUUUUGCGACGGAUGUCAGGUUUGGAUCUGUUUUCAGGCCUUUUUGAAAAGCUGCGCUGAUUUGUUUCUG
RNAcentral lists this long non-coding RNA (1195 nucleotides) under Nicotiana tabacum (common tobacco). RNAcentral describes it as "long non-coding RNA (NTAB_LNC008486)". The record is from RNAcentral. Lineage: Eukaryota; Viridiplantae; Streptophyta; Magnoliopsida; Solanales; Solanaceae.